AUGGCCGGGCGUUGCGGAUCGCUGUCUCGCUCCCUGAUGUCGUCGGCGAGGGCUUCGUCGUCGCCGUUCCGCUCGUCGCCGCCGCCUCUCUCCCGCCUCCUCCGCCCGCCUCCCGUGGCCUCCCCGCGCCUCCAGUCUCGCCGCCGCCCCUCCUUCGCCGCUCCCAGUAGGAGCAUGGGUGAACUAGGGUGCACUCAGUCUCUUCUGCCUCUACAAUGCACUCCCAGGCUUACCUCGCACCUCAGUGUAGCCGUGCGAGCAUGCUGCGAGCUGUCUCACGGUACCUUCUGCCGUACUUGUCAGGAUCGCUAGUAUUUUCUUUGGUGGAAUGGAAAAGAUGGGUGAUGCACAAGGACUUUCAAUCAUGCAAAGGCACAGUAAUGGUUCUGAAAAUUGUAGGUACUUGAGCAGCUCUUGGAUUAGCACAACCAUGUGCUAAAGCAUAGAUGGGACUUGCAGAAGGUGGAUGUGGCCAGGGAAGACAAAAAGUUUGUAGACCUAAGAAAUAAAGUGUUGAUUUUAUUGUCAAAAGAGAACUUGAGGACUUGUUGGACGGGCAUUCUCUCCUGUGCAGUUUGUAUUAGAUACUUCUUCAUCCACUGCUCUUCCUUUUGAGCACAGUCGCUUUCUAAUCUUUCAGAUCAAUCUUAAGAUGCGAGGUUUUGUCCAUUUUCAUGAA
This is an RNA transcript of Syzygium oleosum, 679 nucleotides long. RefSeq lists it as uncharacterized. The transcript has 4 exons. NCBI's taxonomy places the organism in Eukaryota, Viridiplantae, Streptophyta, Magnoliopsida, Myrtales, Myrtaceae. The record is from RefSeq and is a predicted model, not a curated record.